AGUGAACGCUGGCGGUAGGCCUAACACAUGCAAGUCGAACGGCAGCACAGUAAGAGCUUGCUCUUACGGGUGGCGAGUGGCGGACGGGUGAGGAAUACAUCGGCAUCUACUUUUUCGUGGGGGAUAACGUAGGGAAACUUACGCUAAUACCGCAUACGACCUACGGGUGAAAGCAGGGGAUCUUCGGACCUUGCGCGAUUGAAUGAGCCGAUGUCGGAUUAGCUAGUUGGCGGGGUAAAGGCCCACCAAGGCGACGAUCCGUAGCUGGUCUGAGAGGAUGAUCAGCCACACUGGAACUGAGACACGGUCCAGACUCCUACGGGAGGCAGCAGUGGGGAAUAUUGGACAAUGGGCGCAAGCCUGAUCCAGCCAUACCGCGUGGGUGAAGAAGGCCUUCGGGUUGUAAAGCCCUGUUGUUGGGAAAGAAAAGCAGCAGGUGAAUACCCCGCUGUUCUGACGGUACCCAAAGAAUAAGCACCGGCUAACUUCGUG
This 492-nucleotide ribosomal RNA is filed under the name uncultured bacterium. RNAcentral's name for it is "partial 16S ribosomal RNA". It matches the Rfam family "Bacterial small subunit ribosomal RNA", at positions 29 to 507 of the family's 1533-position model. The record is from RNAcentral.